CUACGGGUUGCUCCAGUGGGGAAUAUUGCACAAUGGGCGCAAGCCUGAUGCAGCCAUGCCGCGUGUAUGAAGAAGGCCUUCGGGUUGUAAAGUACUUUCAGCGGGGAGGAAGGGAGUAAAGUUAAUACCUUUGCUCAUUGACGCUACCCGCAGAAGAAGCACCGGCUAACUCCGUGCCAGCAGCCGCGGUAAUACGGAGGGUGCAAGCGUUAAUCGGAGUUACUGGGCGUAAAGCGCACGCAGGCGGUUUGUUAAGUCAGAUGUGAAAUCCCCGGGCUCAACCUGGGAACUGCAUCUGAUACUGGCAAGCUUGAGUCUCGUAGAGGGGGGUAGAAUUCCAGGUGUAGCGGUGAAAUGCGUAGAGAUCUGGAGGAAUACCGGUGGCGAAGGCGGCCCCCUGGACGAAGACUGACGCUCAGGUGCGAAAGCGUGGGGAGCAAACAGGAUUAGAUACCCUCGUAGUC
RNAcentral lists this ribosomal RNA (464 nucleotides) under uncultured bacterium. RNAcentral's name for it is "partial 16S ribosomal RNA". It matches the Rfam family "Bacterial small subunit ribosomal RNA", at positions 339 to 795 of the family's 1533-position model. The record is from RNAcentral.